Molecule: long non-coding RNA, 231 nt
Filed under: Lathyrus oleraceus (garden pea)
Lineage: Eukaryota; Viridiplantae; Streptophyta; Magnoliopsida; Fabales; Fabaceae
Description: Pisum sativum (pea) long non-coding RNA (PSAT_LNC033621)
Source: RNAcentral
UCACUGCAUGAUACACACACGGAGACACGUUGUUUGAAAUUAACCCCGAGCCUUUCUAGCCAUCCCGAAUAAUUAUAUCCCUCGUUAACCCCAUUUGAGCCUGUAUCCAUUUGUUUGUUUAACCCUCAUAAAUGUACCCCUUGGCCAAAAACACUUCCUCACCCUGUUCAGAGUCAUGAUAAUACAUUCAAACUGUGUUGAAAAGCUAAGUUUGGGGUAAAAACCCCAAAA